AGAAAAGUGCUGCUGCUCCUUUACUGAAAGAAGGUUCCCUCUCUGUGCAUGUUGGCGAUGGCAGGCAGGGUUGGGCUGAGUGUGCGCCGUACGAUGCCAUCCAUGUUGGAGCAGCUGCUGUUGAAAUUCCGCCGGCUCUCAUUGACCAGUUAAAGCCAGGCGGGAGAAUGGUGAUUCCUGUUGGGAACAUAUUCCAGGAUUUAAAGGUUGUGGACAAAGAUAGUGAUGGCUCUGUUAGCAUCCACGAUGAGACUUCUGUUCGUUACGUGCCUCUUACUAGUCGAGAAGCUCAGUUACGUGAUAAUUGAUCGGCUUUGGGGCAUCACUUUUAGAUGCUCUGCUUCUAUUAUCAAGAAUGUUGUAUAGAAACUUUUAGACACUGUUUGUGCAUCAACAUCAGCCUUGUAAAUUCUUCCUUGACGUGGA
Molecule: unclassified non-coding RNA, 426 nt
Filed under: Hevea brasiliensis (rubber tree)
Lineage: Eukaryota; Viridiplantae; Streptophyta; Magnoliopsida; Malpighiales; Euphorbiaceae
Source: RNAcentral